This 390-nucleotide ribosomal RNA is filed under the name Triticum aestivum (bread wheat). Its description in RNAcentral is "partial small subunit ribosomal RNA". Lineage: Eukaryota; Viridiplantae; Streptophyta; Magnoliopsida; Poales; Poaceae. The record is from RNAcentral.
AUGUUUGCUGCCUUACUAAGAUCUUCUUCCUCGAGGAUCCUCCUCAAUGGGGUACCAUCCAAGCCUAUCAAGAAUGGGAAGGGUCUUCGGCAGGGGGACCCAGUAUCACCCCUCCUCUUCGUGAUUGCGAUUGACCCACUCCAGAAUAUCCUCGACCUUGCCACGCAGCGUGGGGAGCUUCACCAGGUUGGUGGCAGGGGCGCGUGCUUUCGCACCUCGUUGUUUGCUGACGACGUGGCUAUCUUUGUGGCUCCUGUUAAGGAGGAUGUCCAGCGCCUCACUGAUAUUCUAGCCGGCUUUGGUGAAGUCACGGGGCUUGUUACCAACCUUGACAAAAGCAUUGUCGCCCCAAUAAGAUGUGCCGAGAUUGAUCUUGAUGACGUCCUAUAG